This is a long non-coding RNA of Mirounga angustirostris (Northern elephant seal), 1615 nucleotides long. RefSeq lists it as uncharacterized. The transcript has 3 exons. Lineage: Eukaryota; Metazoa; Chordata; Mammalia; Carnivora; Phocidae. The record is from RefSeq and is a predicted model, not a curated record.
AGACCACAGUCCAGUCUGUGUUUCCCAUCCCCGAUGUGGGGAGAAGCCUGUCCAGACUGGUGAGUCAUUGCAGAACACCGGAUGACGAGGGUGUGCCGCGGAAACCCGUCUCCAUUCUACGGCUGCCUCAUGGAUGGGCCCUAUCCACUUCUGUAUUCACCAUGCUCUGUGGCCGAAGCCUCUAACGGGUUGAAUUAUGUCCCCCCAAAAAGAUAACCUUGAGUAUCUGUGAGUAUGACCUUAUUUGGAAAUAAGAUCUUUGCAGAUGUAACCAAAUUAAGAAGAGGUCAUCAGGGGGCAUGGUCGGUGCCCCGACAAAGAGAGGAGAAGCCACGUGACAAUGGUGGCCGGGAUUAGGUGACACGUCUCCACUCCAAGGAUGGUCCUCAGCAGCAGGAGCUGAGAGAAGGGCCUCGGACACACUCUCCAAAGGAGCCAGCCCUGCGGACACCUUGAUCUUGGACCUCUAAUCCUGGGUCUCCCCAACAGCGAACCCAACCAGAUGACAUUUGCCCCUGACUUCAUCCGUGAAUCCCCUCCCACCCCAUCAUUAGAGCGCGAUCACCCCAGGGAGUGGUCCACACGCCCAGGCAGUCUGGGAGUGGUACAAAAUGAGUGCCACCCUCGGUGAGCUCUUAACCCUACUCAGUCGACCUCUGUGCUCUGGACUCACCUCGUGGUUUCGGUCAUAAGAACGUAGAUAUCCUACAAUUUCUACCUUCUGAUUUUGUCUGUCUGCAGGGCUUUAGAGAUCUGUCCAUGUUCCCAAGAAGUAAUCGAUUUCGUCCACCCUGCUUCUGCUAACCACCCCUAGGAACUUUCCUACCGCUCAGCUCUGCCCACUGAGCCCGACUGUUUUGCCCCUUGGAGUCAGAUACAUACGGCGAUGUUGCCAAAGCGACGGUGGGUAAAAUUGGUUGGCGUGAAUUAAAGCCAUAGCACCAAACUGCGCUAGCCGUCCCUGUUUCUUCACCGAACACGUGCAGAAAUAAAGCAUCCAUUGCAGUUACGGAUGUCCUUCAUAAAGCGGCAAACAACACUCAUCUGAUGAGCUUUUGGAUCUUGAGUGCAUACCUCUUAAGAUCCUGCGUGAUGAAGUGGGAAGCACGGACAGCACUUCUGUCAUGCGCCAAAGUACAAUGGUUUCCGGAGGGGUCAUCCUUGUGCAGUUGUUUGGGUCGCACACUGAACCAGCCCCUUUACUCAUGAAACACAAAUUUUCCUUGGAAGGGUAGCAGAGAGUCGAGUGGUGAGUAUUCAAACUUGAGUGUUUUGCAGAUACUUAUGGAAUGUGAACUAGUAAAUAAUUGGCAGUAUUCGUUGUCAGUGAUAGGACUCAAGUUUUCAGAAUAAGAAUUAGAAUGUUGGAGGUCUUAUAUUUCUGUUUGGUUUGAACUUGCAUUUCCCUGUGGUUAAUGACAUUGGGCAUCUUCUUGUGCGCUUAUCUGCCACUUGUAAUAUGUCUUCUUCGUGUGAUGGCACAUUUUGCCCAUUUUUUGUCAUAUCGUUUGUUUUCUUCUUAUUGAAUUGUUGGAGUUCUUUAUAUAUUCUGGACACAAGUCGUUUAUGAGACAGAUGUUUGCAAAUAUUUUCCACCAGUCUCUGCAGCUUGUCU